This 408-nucleotide ribosomal RNA is filed under the name uncultured bacterium. RNAcentral's name for it is "partial 16S ribosomal RNA". It matches the Rfam family "Bacterial small subunit ribosomal RNA", at positions 28 to 526 of the family's 1533-position model. The record is from RNAcentral.
GACGAACGCUGGCGGCGUGCUUAACACAUGCAAGUCGAACGAAGUGGCGAACGGGUGAGUAACGCGUAAUCAACCUGCCCUUCAGAGGGGGACAACAGUUGGAAACGACUGCUAAUACCGCAUACCGAAGUAGGGGUCUGCGUCUGAUUAGCUGGUUGGAGGGGUAACGGCCCACCAAGGCGAUAAUCAGUAGCCGGUCUGAGAGGAUAAACGGCCGCAUUGGGACUGAGGCACGGCCCAGACUCCUACGGUGUGCAGCAGUGGUGAAUCUUCCGCAAUGGACGAAAGUGUGACUGAGCAACGCCGCGUGAGUGAUGGCGGCCUUCGGGUUGUAAAGCUCUGUUAAUCGGGACGCGGUACCGGAAUAGAAAGCCACGGCUAACUACGUGCCAGCAGCCGCGGUAAUAC